Panicum virgatum (switchgrass) is the source of this 1581-nucleotide long non-coding RNA. RefSeq lists it as uncharacterized. Lineage: Eukaryota; Viridiplantae; Streptophyta; Magnoliopsida; Poales; Poaceae. The record is from RefSeq and is a predicted model, not a curated record. The transcript has 6 exons.
UGUUCCUCUCUCCCAGACCGGCGACGUCGACGGCUCCGGCCUCCGGCCGCACCUCCACUUCCUCCUCUUCGGUGCUCGGCUCCACACCCUUCCCCCCUGGACGAAUUCCCCUGCGAGUUCUUCCAUGCGCUCUACUCCCUUCCCCCUCUGCAUCUAGGGUUUCGCCUGCCGGCGGCGCCCAUGGACUCCGACACCGGCGGAGGGGGCCGGGCCCGUACAGGCCUUCGAGCGGCGUGCUGCCUACCCAACAUCAUCCGCCAACGCUUCCUCUCCCCACCCUCACCCCACCCCCCGCGCGCUCGGCUUCGACGAGCUCCGCCACGACGAGCCCCUCACCACGCUUGCUAGCCAAAUCGAUCCCUUCGCGCUCCCGCUUCUUCAGCUUCAGGUGAGCAUGCAUGCUACCCAUGCUUGAUUAAUUCUUCUCCUCCAUGACUCCAAUUCCAUUUUUCCACCAUUUAUUUGGUCCUCAACAAGCUUGUAAAAAGCCACGUUAAUUCACUACGAAUUCAAUUCCAUAUCCCCUCAUCUUUCUCCUGCAUUUAUUUCCUGUGCGAGAUUUGAUAUUGUUGUCUGCAAACUGCCUUGGGGGGAAGGUCUUGAAUAUAACAAUCAGCUAGCAUCGCUCCUGAAUUCUUCCCUAGUCUUUUAGUGAGCAGUACCUAUACUUUGCCUUCUAUCUCGUUCCUUGAAAAUUUUGACUGAUUUUGUCUCCGGUUGUUUUACUUGCCCCUGGGAGGAAGACAUAGACGCACGCUCGUCUAGUGCCGCCUGUCACCCUCCCCGUUGAGCAGGACUCCCCCACGUCCAUGGUGUUCGAUAAAAUGUCUGUGGGUGCACUGGCCUUGUAGGCACAGAUUCAGCGAUUGUGAGGCUUGUUCAGUGACUCCACUAGUCACAGAAAAACUUAGGGUGGAAAAGUACGCACCAAAUUCACGGAGCUGUUAAGUGAUGAGCACAUAAACAUGGAGUUUGAGGCCAAUAGCUCUUAUCUUCCUCCUGCUCGUGCUCAUUAUCACAUCACAGUUUGAGUGGAAACAUCAGAUUAGCGAGGUAAUGGAGGAGGUAACAGGCACUUGAAAAGGAGGAUGCUGUUAAAGAGAAAUUAAAAUUGAUCCACUCAAAGUUGAUAGGUUGGAUUUCAGUAAUCAUCAUUUCUUCAAUGCUCAUAUAAGAUGACUUACAGCAGUCACCAUGGUCCUGACAAUCACUCCACUGCUUCUUAUGAACUUCUCCAACACCCAUGGAGGUUUCAGCUUUUGAUCAGAGAGGUAUGAGAAAAUUUGGGCUGUCAAGGGACCUGUUGUCACUAGCAGUUAAAUAUAUGGAAGGUUGAACCUAUUAUAGCAUUCACUUUAAAUGUCUAGUUGGUUCUAGGAUUAACCAUUAGAUACUUUGAUUCUUGUUAUUUCCUUUGCACUCAGUUAAUGAGGAUUUAUUUGUUAAUAUGGACCGAUUAUGGCUUUAACUUGUAUUUUGAUUCAGCGUUGAGCUUGUAACAUGACUCAACUAAAUUCAGUGUAAGCAUCUAGUCCCUCUAGGUAUGUUUCGGUGAUUAAUGACAAACAUUAUUGUGACUAA